RNAcentral lists this ribosomal RNA (644 nucleotides) under Escherichia coli. RNAcentral's name for it is "partial 23S ribosomal RNA". It matches the Rfam family "Bacterial large subunit ribosomal RNA", at positions 2180 to 2823 of the family's 2925-position model. Lineage: Bacteria; Pseudomonadati; Pseudomonadota; Gammaproteobacteria; Enterobacterales; Enterobacteriaceae. The record is from RNAcentral.
AUGGAGCCGACCUUGAAAUACCACCCUUUAAUGUUUGAUGUUCUAACGUUGACCCGUAAUCCGGGUUGCGGACAGUGUCUGGUGGGUAGUUUGACUGGGGCGGUCUCCUCCUAAAGAGUAACGGAGGAGCACGAAGGUUGGCUAAUCCUGGUCGGACAUCAGGAGGUUAGUGCAAUGGCAUAAGCCAGCUUGACUGCGAGCGUGACGGCGCGAGCAGGUGCGAAAGCAGGUCAUAGUGAUCCGGUGGUUCUGAAUGGAAGGGCCAUCGCUCAACGGAUAAAAGGUACUCCGGGGAUAACAGGCUGAUACCGCCCAAGAGUUCAUAUCGACGGCGGUGUUUGGCACCUCGAUGUCGGCUCAUCACAUCCUGGGGCUGAAGUAGGUCCCAAGGGUAUGGCUGUUCGCCAUUUAAAGUGGUACGCGAGCUGGGUUUAGAACGUCGUGAGACAGUUCGGUCCCUAUCUGCCGUGGGCGCUGGAGAACUGAGGGGGGCUGCUCCUAGUACGAGAGGACCGGAGUGGACGCAUCACUGGUGUUCGGGUUGUCAUGCCAAUGGCACUGCCCGGUAGCUAAAUGCGGAAGAGAUAAGUGCUGAAAGCAUCUAAGCACGAAACUUGCCCCGAGAUGAGUUCUCCCUGACUCCU